UCAGGAUGAACGCUGGCGGCGUGCCUAACACAUGCAAGUCGGGCGGAGAUGUGAGAGAUUCUCGGAUGAUUCUUCAUCUUAGCGGCGGAUGGGUGAGUAACACGUGGGUAACCUGCCCUGCACAGGGGGAUAACAGCUGGAAACGGCUGUUAAUACCGCAUAUGCACACGCUGCCGCAUGGCAGAGGGUGGAAAGAUUUAUCGGUGCAGGAUGGGCCCGCGUCGGAUUAACUAGUUGGCAGGGUAACGGCCUACCAAGGUUAUGAUCCGUAGCCGACCUGAGAGGGUGACCGGCCACAUUGGGACUGAGACACGGCCCAAACUCCUACGGGAGGCAGCAGUGGGGGAUAUUGCACAAUGGGCGGAAGCCCUGAUGCAGCGACGCCGCGUGAAGGAAGAAGUAUUUCGGUAUGUAAACUUCUAUCAGCGGGGAAGAAGAUGACGGUACCCGACUAAGAAGCCCCGGCUAACUACGUGCCAGCCGCCGC
This 487-nucleotide ribosomal RNA is filed under the name uncultured bacterium. RNAcentral's name for it is "bacterial SSU rRNA". It matches the Rfam family "Bacterial small subunit ribosomal RNA", at positions 24 to 518 of the family's 1533-position model. The record is from RNAcentral.